UGGGGAAUAUUGCGCAAUGGGCGGAAGCCUGACGCAGCGACGCCGCGUGGGGGAUGACGGCCUUCGGGUUGUAAACCUCUUUCAGCUCCGACGAAGCGAGAGUGACGGUAGGAGCAGAAGAAGCACCGGCCAACUACGUGCCAGCAGCCGCGGUAAUACGUAGGGUGCAAGCGUUGUCCGGAAUUAUUGGGCGUAAAGAGCUCGUAGGCGGUUCGUCGCGUCGGCUGUGAAAACCCGGAGCUCAACUCCGGGCCUGCAGUCGAUACGGGCGGACUAGAGUUCGGCAGGGAGACUGGAAUUCCUGGUGUAGCGGUGAAAUGCGCAGAUAUCAGGAGGAACACCGGUGGCGAAGGCGGGUCUCUGGGCCGAUACUGACGCUGAGGAGCGAAAAGCGUGGGGAGCGAACA
This 407-nucleotide ribosomal RNA is filed under the name uncultured Geodermatophilaceae bacterium. RNAcentral describes it as "bacterial SSU rRNA". It matches the Rfam family "Bacterial small subunit ribosomal RNA", at positions 355 to 774 of the family's 1533-position model. The record is from RNAcentral. Lineage: Bacteria; Bacillati; Actinomycetota; Actinomycetes; Geodermatophilales; Geodermatophilaceae.